GGACCCGUAGCUUAAUUGGAUAGAGCAUCUGACUACGGAUCAGAAGGUUACAAGUUCGAGUCUUGUCGGGUUCACCA
This 77-nucleotide transfer RNA is filed under the name Mangrovibacterium sp. RNAcentral describes it as "tRNA-Arg". It matches the Rfam family "tRNA". From Rfam's summary of the family: Transfer RNA (tRNA) molecules are approximately 80 nucleotides in length. Their secondary structure includes four short double-helical elements and three loops (D, anti-codon, and T loops). The record is from RNAcentral. RNAcentral also lists the same sequence under 1 other name. Lineage: Bacteria; Pseudomonadati; Bacteroidota; Bacteroidia; Marinilabiliales; Prolixibacteraceae.